UACGGAGGGUGCAAGCGUUAAUCGGAAUUACUGGGCGUAAAGGGUGCGUAGGUGGUAUAUUAAGUUAUCUGUGAAAUCCCUGGGCUUAACCUGGGCAGGUCAGAUAAUACUGAUGUACUCGAGUAUGGGAGAGGGUAGUGGAAUUUCCGGUGUAGCGGUGAAAUGCGUAGAGAUCGGAAGGAACACCAGUGGCGAAGGCGGCUACCUGGCCUAAUACUGACACUGAGGCACGAAAGCGUGGGGAGCAAACAGG
RNAcentral lists this ribosomal RNA (253 nucleotides) under uncultured bacterium. RNAcentral's name for it is "partial 16S ribosomal RNA". It matches the Rfam family "Bacterial small subunit ribosomal RNA", at positions 524 to 776 of the family's 1533-position model. The record is from RNAcentral.